RNAcentral lists this ribosomal RNA (1582 nucleotides) under human gut metagenome. RNAcentral describes it as "bacterial LSU rRNA". It matches the Rfam family "Bacterial large subunit ribosomal RNA", at positions 885 to 2498 of the family's 2925-position model. The record is from RNAcentral.
AGAAGAGUUAUACGAAGGUAGAGCACUGAAUGGGUGAGGGCCGCACCUCGCGGUACCAAUCUCAAUCAAACUCCGAAUGUCGUAUAAUAUGCGCAGCAGUAAGACUAUGGGUGAUAAGGUCCAUGGUCAAAAGGGAAACAGCCCAGACCGCCAGUUAAGGUCCCAAAAUUAUGCUAAGUGGGAAAGGAGGUGGAGUCGCUUAAACAACUAGGAGGUUGGCUCAGAAGCAGCCAUCCUUUAAAGAGUGCGUAAUAGCUCACUAGUCGAGUGAUUCUGCGCCGAAAAUGUAUCGGGGCUAAGCAUAAUACCGAAGCUGCGGGAUUAGAUGAAGAAUCUAAUCGGUAGGGGAGCGUACUAAGUGCGUAGAAGGUUGACCGGAAGGGCAGCUGGAGCGCUUAGCAGUGAGUAUGCCGGUGUGAGUAGCGAUAAGAUGGGUGAGAAUCCCAUCCGUCGAAAGCCUAAGGUUUCCAGGGGUAAGGCUCGUCCUCCCUGGGUAAGUCGGGUCCUAAGGUGAGGCUGAGAAGCGUAGCUGAUGGACAUCAGGUUGAUAUUCCUGAACCACCAUAAAACUGAAGGAAUGACGGAGGAGGCUAAUCAGAGCUGAUUAAUGGAUUUCAGUUUAAGUACAAAGAGGGUUACGUAGGCAAAUCCGCGUAGCAAAACCUUGAAGUAUGACGACGUAAGUCUGGUGAAGCCACACUUCCAAGAAAAGUUUCUAGGUGUAUUUUAUGGUGCCCGUACCGUAAACGGACACACGUAGGCGAGGAGAGAAUCCAAAGACGAGCGAGAUAAUUCUUGUUAAGGAACUCUGCAAAAUUACUCUGUAACUUCGGAAUAAAGAGGGCUCCCGUGAGGGAGACGCAGAAAAUAGGCCCAAGCGACUGUUUAACAAAAACAUAGGUUUCUGCUAAAGCGUAAGCUGAUGUAUAGGAGCUGACGCCUGCCCAGUGCUGGAAGGUUAAGAGGAGAAGUUAGUCGCAAGGCGAAGCUUUGAAUUGAAGCCCCAGUAAACGGCGGCCGUAACUAUAACGGUCCUAAGGUAGCGAAAUUCCUUGUCAGGUAAGUUCUGACCCGCACGAAAGGCGUAACGAUUUGGGCGCUGUCUCAACAAGAAACUCGGUGAAAUCAUAGUACCUGUGAAGAUGCAGGUUACCCGCGAUCAGACGGAAAGACCCCAUGGAGCUUCACUGCAACUUAAUAUUGAUAUUGGGUGUGUGAUGUACAGGAUAGGUGGGAGACAAAGAAGCGAGUACGCUAGUAUUCGUGGAGUCAACCUUGGGAUACCACCCCUCGCACAUUUAGUAUCUAACUAGUUUCCAUAAGCUGGGAAUAGAACAGUGUUAGGUGGGCAGUUUGACUGGGGCGGUCGCCUCCCAAAGAGUAACGGAGGCGCCCAAAGGUUCCCUCAGAAUGGUUGGAAAUCAUUCGUAGAGUGUAAAGGCAGAAGGGAGCUUGACUGCGAGACGGACAGGUCGAGCAGGAACGAAAGUUGGGCUUAGUGAACCGGCUGUGCUGAAUGGAAAGGCAGUCGAUCAACGGACAAAAGCUACCCUGGGGAUAACAGGCUGAUCUCCCCCAAGAG